Molecule: long non-coding RNA, 1359 nt
Organism: Drosophila albomicans
Lineage: Eukaryota; Metazoa; Arthropoda; Insecta; Diptera; Drosophilidae
Exons: 4
Source: RefSeq, a predicted model, not a curated record
AGUCGCAUACUUUUUGGAAUAAUUCUCAUUUCAAAUUUUAAUCAAGAAACCUAAACAUUUCUUCUAUUUGUUUUAAAAAUGCAUGGAGUGUUCAUAUUUAUUAUUGGCGGUAUUGUUGGUUUUCUAAUUGCUAAAAAUAUCGAUCGUCUAAUUGAAAUAGAUUGGAGUUGUUGAAAUUGAAGUACCAGAAGAAAUGUCUCAUCUCAUUACUUUUACUCUUGGCAUUGUAGUUGGUAUGAUGGUCUCGAGAAGCUGCAAUCCAUAAUCGAAAUGAACAAAAUAUAUUGUAAUCAUGUAAAUGAAAGUUUACUAACUUUGCCGCAGAGCUAAUUCAAUGAUUUCUUUAAAUACAUGUUUACCACAUUUUUAAAAUCAAGUCACGCACUUAAAAUAAAACAAGAAUGAAUUAAAAGCAAAAUUAUCUAAAUCUAUGAGAAAUUGAAAAUAUUCCUUUUUUUUUAAUCUAGCUCGCCUCGUUUUCUUCAUCAUACUAUUUUUGAAUAAUUCUCAUUAAAAAUUGUAAACAAGAAAUCUAAACAUAUCUCGGAAUAACUGUUUAAAAAAAUGCAUGGAGUUCUAAUAUUUAUUAUCGGUGGUGUUGUUGGUUUUCUAAUUGCUAAAAACAUUGAUCAAAUAGAUUGGAGAAGUUGGAGUUGAAAUAUCAGAAGAUAUGACGCAUCUCAUAAGUUUUGUUCUCGGAAUUGUAGUUGGCAUGAUGGUCUCAAAAAAAUGCAAUCCAUAAAAGAAAUAAACAAAAUUUGAUCAUGAUGUAAGAUGCUUGAACGAAAAUGGACAAUUAUUAACUUUGCCACAAAGUUAAUUUAAGUCUCUAAAUUGUGGCUGUUAAAAUUCAACGGUUUCUUACAAUACAAGCUUAUAUUAUUUUUAAAAUAAAGUUAUGUACUUAAAAAAAAAAAUCAGAUGAAUAAAUUUAAAGUACAAUUAUCUAAAUAUAUGAGAAAACGAAAAUAUCCCUUGCCUUUUUUAAUCUAGUUUCCCUCGUCUUUUUUGUUAGGUCGCAUACUUGUUUUGAAUAAUUCUCAUUUAAAAUUUUUAACACGAAGCCUUAACAUUUCUCGGAAUAAUUGUUUUAAAAAAUGCAUGGAGUUAUAAUAUUUAUUAUCGGCGGUAUUGUUGGUUUUCUGAUUGCUAAAAACAUUGAUCGUCUGCAGAUAAAUUUGAGAAGUUGAAGUUGAAAUACCAGAAAAAAUGACGCAUCUUAUAUCCUUUGCCCUAGGCGUUGUAGUUGGCAUGAUGGCCUCGAGAAGGUGCAAUCCAUAAUCGAAAUAAACAAAAUUUAAUAAUGUUGUAAGAUGCUUGAAUGAAAAUAGACAACUACUAACUUUGUCACAAAGCUAA